This 96-nucleotide transfer RNA is filed under the name Streptomyces naganishii JCM 4654. Its description in RNAcentral is "tRNA-Arg". Lineage: Bacteria; Bacillati; Actinomycetota; Actinomycetes; Kitasatosporales; Streptomycetaceae. The record is from RNAcentral.
GGGGGCGGUGGCCGGCGGUGCGGUGGCCGGCGGUGCGGUGGCCGACGGCGCGGUGGCCGGCGGUGCGGGCUGCUCGGCCUCGGCCUCGGCUUCGCC